GACGAACGCUGGCGGCGUGCUUAACACAUGCCAGUCGAACGGAAAGGCCCUGCUUUUGUGGGGUGCUCGAGUGGCGAACGGGUGAGUAACACGUGAGUAACCUGCCCUUGACUUUGGGAUAACUUCAGGAAACUGGGGUUAAUACCGGAUAGGAUCUCCUGCUGCAUGGUGGGGGUUGGAAAGUUUCGGCGGUUGGGGAUGGACUCGCGGCUUAUCAGCUUGUUGGUGGGGUAGUGGCUUACCAAGGCUUUGACGGGUAGCCGGCCUGGGAGGGUGACCGGCCACAUUGGGACUGCGGUACGGCCCAGACUCCUACGGGAGGCAGCAGUGGGGAAUAUUGCACAAUGGGCGGAAGCCUGAUGCAGCAACGCCGCGUGCGGGAUGACGGCCUUCGGGUUGUAAACCGCUUUCGCCUGUGACGAAGCGUGAGUGACGGUAAUGGGUAAAGAAGCACCGGCUAACUACGUG
Molecule: ribosomal RNA, 468 nt
Filed under: uncultured bacterium
Lineage: Bacteria
Description: partial 16S ribosomal RNA
Rfam family: Bacterial small subunit ribosomal RNA
Source: RNAcentral